Molecule: non-coding RNA, 114 nt
Organism: Acanthosepion pharaonis
Lineage: Eukaryota; Metazoa; Mollusca; Cephalopoda; Sepiida; Sepiidae
Source: the annotation of a GenBank genome assembly
UUACGGCCAUAUCAGGUUUAAACACUGUUUCUCGUACGAUAUCCGAAGUUAAGCAAACUCGAGCCUGAUUUGUAGUUAAAUGGGUGACCGCUUGGGAAUACCAGGUGCUGUAAG